CCGGCGUGCUCCCACAUUUCAGUCGAACGGAAAGGCCCUUCGGGGUACCGAGUGGCGAACGGGUGAGUAACACGUGGGUGAUCUGCCCUGCACUUUGGGAUAAGCCUGGGAAACUGGGUCUAAUACCGAAUAGGACUACGGCCUUCAUGGGUUGUGGUGGAAAGCUUUUGCGGUGUGGGAUGGGCCCGCGGCCUAUCAGCUUGUUGGUGGGGUAAUGGCCUACCAAGGCGACGACGGGUAGCCGGCCUGAGAGGGUGACCGGCCACACUGGGACUGAGAUACGGCCCAGACUCCUACGGGAGGCAGCAGUGGGGAAUAUUGCACAAUGGGCGCAAGCCUGAUGCAGCGACGCCGCGUGAGGGAUGACGGCCUUCGGGUUGUAAACCUCUUUCAGCAGGGACGAAGCGCAAGUGACGGUACCUGUAGAAGAAGGACCGGCCAACUACGUGCCAGCAGCCGCGGUAAUACGUAGGGUCC
RNAcentral lists this ribosomal RNA (477 nucleotides) under uncultured Mycobacterium sp. RNAcentral describes it as "bacterial SSU rRNA". It matches the Rfam family "Bacterial small subunit ribosomal RNA", at positions 39 to 535 of the family's 1533-position model. Lineage: Bacteria; Bacillati; Actinomycetota; Actinomycetes; Mycobacteriales; Mycobacteriaceae. The record is from RNAcentral.